UCCCUGGUGGCUCAGGUGGUAAAGAAUCUGCCUGUCAAUGCAGAAGACCCAGGUUCGAUUCCUGGAUGGGGAA
RNAcentral lists this transfer RNA (73 nucleotides) under Ovis aries (sheep). It matches the Rfam family "tRNA". Rfam says of the family: Transfer RNA (tRNA) molecules are approximately 80 nucleotides in length. The record is from Rfam by way of RNAcentral. Lineage: Eukaryota; Metazoa; Chordata; Mammalia; Artiodactyla; Bovidae.